AGGGCACCCAACCCCAAGCUUGUUGCUUCACUACGCAUUUGCGAGUCAAAGCCUUCCUGCGUUUUGUUCCUUCUGCUCCUCUUCCAUUUUUUUCGGCUUAGGGAACCUUUUGCAGUGCGGGGGACGGCUGCCAGCUCCAGAGCUAACGGAAGCAGAGAAAUGCUCUCUUCCGAGGCCUCCUCCCCGGCGGCCAUUUUCUGAAAAGGGAAGAAAACCACUUCUGUGUGGUUUACUAGCGCCCAGACUUCCCCUGGAGAUUUUCUUUAUUUGAGAGCAAGAGCAGGAAGAGGAGUGUGUGGGGGAUGCCACCUGAGCUGAAAUCAGACACUAAACCAGCUCAGCCCCCCAGGUGCCCCUAGUCCUCCAACUUCUUUCUACCCUUUCAUCCUUCCUGUUGCCCUUCUUCCUAAAAACACUGAUCUUCUGUUUACCUUCCAACCCCAUUCAGAACAAAUGUGCCAGGAGGUGGUGAUCCCAGGAUCUUGGGAUCCAGCCCAACACAACAUCGAGCCACAACUCUCCUUUGGCAUCAUGCUUCUUUCCAGAAUAAAGGGCCAGAGUGUAGUGGACUCAGUGGACUUAGCCAAAGCAGCCAAAACCAGCCAAGGAAGAGUAUUCUUGGCAGACUUCUCCUUCUGAAUUUGUUUUAAUAAAGUGUGGCUCUUUCCUCUGGUUCUGAUAUACCCCCUUUCACUUCCUUUGCUGUGCUUUUCCUCCCUUCCCUAGUUCUCUUAUUUGAAAUCAAGCAAUCCAUGCCUCAGUCUCUCUCCCACUUUUCAUCUUUUUUCCCUCCGAAAGCUUUCACCAUCAAAUAAAUU
Molecule: long non-coding RNA, 818 nt
Filed under: Mustela putorius furo (domestic ferret)
Lineage: Eukaryota; Metazoa; Chordata; Mammalia; Carnivora; Mustelidae
Description: lncRNA (ENSMPUG00000028317.1)
Source: RNAcentral